RNAcentral lists this unclassified non-coding RNA (331 nucleotides) under soil metagenome. RNAcentral's name for it is "partial contains 5.8S ribosomal RNA, internal transcribed spacer 2, and large subunit ribosomal RNA". The stretch from base 1 to 120 matches the Rfam family "5.8S ribosomal RNA", at positions 35 to 154 of the family's 154-position model. The record is from RNAcentral.
GAUGAAGAACGUAGCGGAAUGCGAUAAGUAAUGUGAAUUGCAGAAUUCAGUGAAUCAUCGAAUCUUUGAACGCACAUUGCGCCCCCUGGUAUUCCGGGGGGUAUGCCUGUUCGAGCGUCAUUUCACCACUCAAGCCUCGCUUGGUAUUGGGCAACGCGGUCCGCCGCGUGCCUCAAAUCGACCGGCUGGGUCUUCUGUCCCCUAAGCGUUGUGGAAACUAUUCGCUAAAGGGUGCUCGGGAGGCUACGCCGUAAAACAAACCCAUUUCUAAGGUUGACCUCGGAUCAGGUAGGGAUACCCGCUGAACUUAAGCAUAUCAAUAAGCGGAGGA